UCACAUCAUUUUCCCCUCACA
RNAcentral lists this microRNA (21 nucleotides) under Drosophila pseudoobscura pseudoobscura. RNAcentral describes it as "mir-2559-RB". The record is from RNAcentral. Lineage: Eukaryota; Metazoa; Arthropoda; Insecta; Diptera; Drosophilidae.